RNAcentral lists this ribosomal RNA (460 nucleotides) under uncultured bacterium. Its description in RNAcentral is "partial 16S ribosomal RNA". It matches the Rfam family "Bacterial small subunit ribosomal RNA", at positions 338 to 795 of the family's 1533-position model. The record is from RNAcentral.
CCUACGUGAGGCAGCAGUGAGGAAUAUUGGUCAAUGGGCGCGAGCCUGAACCAGCCAAGUAGCGUGAAGGAUGACUGCCCUACGGUUUGUAAACUUCUUUUAUAAAGGGAUAAAGUGAGUCACUUGUGCCUUUUUGUAUGUACUUUAUGAAUAAGAAUCGGCUAACUCCGUGCCAGCAGCCGCGGUAAUACGGAGGAUCCGAGCGUUAUCCGGAUUUAUUGGGUUUAAAGGGAGCGUAGAUGGGUGGUUAAGUCAGUUGUGAAAUUUUGCGGCUCAACCGUAAAAUUGCAAUUGAUACUGGCAGUCUUGAGUACAGUUGAGGUAGGCGGAAUUCGUGGUGUAGCGGUGAAAUGCGUAGAUAUCACGAAGAACUCCGAUUGCGAAGGCAGCUUACUAAACUGCCACUGACAUUGAUGCUCGAAAGUGUGGGUAUCAAACAGGAUUAGAUACCCUUGUAGUC